This 73-nucleotide transfer RNA is filed under the name Myotis brandtii (Brandt's bat). It matches the Rfam family "tRNA". Rfam says of the family: Transfer RNA (tRNA) molecules are approximately 80 nucleotides in length. Their secondary structure includes four short double-helical elements and three loops (D, anti-codon, and T loops). The record is from Rfam by way of RNAcentral. Lineage: Eukaryota; Metazoa; Chordata; Mammalia; Chiroptera; Vespertilionidae.
GCUGGUUUGGCUCAGUGGAUAGAGCAUCGGCCUGCGGAGUCAAGGAUGCCAGGUUCGAUUCCGGCCAAGGGCA